GUGGGGAAUCUUGCGCAAUGGGCGAAAGCCUGACGCAGCCAUGCCGCGUGAAUGAUGAAGGUCUUAGGAUUGUAAAAUUCUUUCACCGGGGACGAUAAUGACGGUACCCGGAGAAGAAGCUCCGGCUAACUUCGUGCCAGCAGCCGCGGUAAUACGAAGGGGGCUAGCGUUGCUCGGAAUUACUGGGCGUAAAGGGCGCGUAGGCGGACAGCUUAGUCAGAGGUGAAAGCCCAGGGCUCAACCUUGGAAUUGCCUUUGAUACUGGCUGUCUUGAGUUUGGGAGAGGUGAGUGGAACUCCGAGUGUAGGGGUGAAAUUCGUAGAUAUUCGGAAGAACACCAGUGGCGAAGGCGACUCACUGGCCCAAUACUGACGCUGAGGCGCGAAAGCGUGGGGAGCAAACAGGAUUAGAAACCCUAGUAGUCC
Molecule: ribosomal RNA, 425 nt
Filed under: uncultured bacterium
Lineage: Bacteria
Description: partial 16S ribosomal RNA
Rfam family: Bacterial small subunit ribosomal RNA
Source: RNAcentral